RNAcentral lists this ribosomal RNA (252 nucleotides) under Paraprevotella clara YIT 11840. Its description in RNAcentral is "partial 16S ribosomal RNA". It matches the Rfam family "Bacterial small subunit ribosomal RNA", at positions 524 to 776 of the family's 1533-position model. Lineage: Bacteria; Pseudomonadati; Bacteroidota; Bacteroidia; Bacteroidales; Prevotellaceae. The record is from RNAcentral.
UACGGAAGAUGCGAGCGUUAUCCGGAUUUAUUGGGUUUAAAGGGAGCGUAGGCCGGCGGUUAAGUCAGCGGUAAAAUAGUGUGGCUCAACCAUACUCCGCCGUUGAUACUGGCCGCCUUGAGUGUAUUCAAGGCAGAUGGAAUUCGUGGUGUAGCGGUGAAAUGCUUAGAUAUCACGAAGAACUCCGAUUGCGAAGGCAGUCUGCUGGGUUACAACUGACGCUGAGGCUCGAAAGUGCGGGUAUCAAACAGG